RNAcentral lists this long non-coding RNA (227 nucleotides) under Elaeis guineensis (African oil palm). Its description in RNAcentral is "long non-coding RNA (EGUI_LNC070009)". The record is from RNAcentral. Lineage: Eukaryota; Viridiplantae; Streptophyta; Magnoliopsida; Arecales; Arecaceae.
UAGGGUACUAGAUAUAGAAUAUCCCUCAGACCUAUUUGCUCGAAUCAAACAAGCUACGAGUUAAAACUAGCUUUACAAUAAAAUUUCUUUGCCCUUCAUAUUUUUUGACAUAAAACUCAAUGCUUGCUUAGGCAAAGAGAUCCGGUUACUCAGCAUGAAGCACUUGAAAACUCUUUUCUUUUUUUUUUAAAUAUGAAGAAACAUAUAGUUAACCUAUACAAGUCCAU